UACGGGGGGGGCAAGUGUUGUUCGGAAUUACUGGGCGUAAAGGGCUCGUAGGCGGCCAACUAAGUCGGAUGUGAAAUCCCCAGGCUUAACCUGGGAACUGCAUCCGAUACUGGAUGGCUUGAAUCCGGGAGAGGGAUGCAGAAUUCCAGGUGUAGCGGUGAAAUGCGUAGAUAUCUGGAGGAACACCGGUGGCGAAGGCGGCAUCCUGGACCGGCAUUGACGCUGAGGAGCGAAAGCCAGGGGAGCAAACGGG
This 253-nucleotide ribosomal RNA is filed under the name uncultured bacterium. Its description in RNAcentral is "partial 16S ribosomal RNA". It matches the Rfam family "Bacterial small subunit ribosomal RNA", at positions 524 to 776 of the family's 1533-position model. The record is from RNAcentral.